GGACAACACAUGUGCAUGUGUGCUAUGCACCCAUAACCCCAGAACAAAAACACUAGAGAAGAGGAGUAGUGUGCAUCUCAUCUGCAGAAAACGUAGUGCGUACAUCAUGUACGACAAAAACAACGCUGUACGAUGCUCCAUCUUCUUGCUUGAAAAUGCCCAGCAGCAGUUGUAGACACUUCUUAAAUCUGGCACAGACCUGCUGUUGUUGUUGACGGUUGUAUGGGGUCGGAAACAGCGCCCCUGAAAAGACACACAUUGCCCCCUAGUUUUGGGGAUGAGGAUACGUUCACGAAAUUACAAAACAAAUCAUGAGCUUAGUCUGAUUAAGCUGUGCAUGUAAACACACUGAGUGUUAUAGAAGUCCAGGUUUCUUUGAAAGCUUCUUCAGCUCAUAUGUAUCGUUGUUCUGGUGUCUCUCAUCUUUCUCUUGAUGCUACUCCAAAGCAAACUAGUUUCUGGUAGUUUUGGCGCUGUGAGCAGAAAGCUGUAUCUGCAGAUGGAAGCAUGAAGAGCUCUAAAAUCUCCUGGUUCGCUGCAGGCUGACUCUGAACUUGUGAUUUUUACUUUUCGAACUAAACUCUCAUGACAUCGUCUCUAGUUCAGUAAUAUCUUGACAGCAGGAACAUGAUACCUGUAGUCCAUUUUCUGUAUAUGUUUUUGAAUAGUGGCCUUUGAUGAUCCGACUCUUGUUUGUUUGGCAAUCCUCCGAAAGUUGCAGUCAUCCCUGUUGUUUUUCAUUAGUGCUGUUUUGCUUAACAAAUGCAACUUAUAUAUUCACUGUCCCGCUCAGAAAGUAGACCGCAUGCAGAAACACACAAGCAUUUGUUUAUUAUGACAUGAGCAAAAAUGAGAUAUGAUUGUCUUUUCCUUGUACUUGGAAUAUGAUAUGUGCUGCCUUUCUUUAAAUAUCAUCAAGACUUUAAACUUUUAAGUUUUCUGUGCAAAGGACA
Non-coding RNA from Xyrichtys novacula (pearly razorfish), 953 nucleotides. NCBI's taxonomy places the organism in Eukaryota, Metazoa, Chordata, Actinopteri, Labriformes, Labridae. The record is from the annotation of a GenBank genome assembly.